AUCGAUUUGCAGAGUGACAGAAGUCCCCGUGGUUCGCGAAGAAGACUCAGGCGAACAUGAUCAGGGACGCGGAAUUUGAAACCAGUUGCGUGUCAAUCGUAGAAAAAAAGGACCAGCUUAAAAUCCCUGUCGGAAACAGGAUUGGCAAGCGAAGAACAGGGCACGCGAGUGCUGCUUCUGUCUUCGGCUGAUGCUCGCUCCUCGCUACUCGCUGCUACACGGCCACAGGAACCACGUUGGUGCCCCCUCCUUUUCUCCGUUUUUUCUUCCUUACUACGUUGCCUCUCACAAUGAUCCGUUACUCCUUCC
RNAcentral lists this unclassified non-coding RNA (309 nucleotides) under Bombus terrestris (buff-tailed bumblebee). Its description in RNAcentral is "misc RNA ENSBTSG00005028568.1". Lineage: Eukaryota; Metazoa; Arthropoda; Insecta; Hymenoptera; Apidae. The record is from RNAcentral.